UGAACGCUGGCGGCGUGCCUAAUACAUGCAAAUCGAGCGAACAGAUGCGGAGCUUGCUCCUCUGACGUUAGCGGCGGGCGGGUGAGUAACACGUGGAUAACCUACCUAUAAGACUGGGAUAACUUCGGGAAACCGGAGCUAAUACCGGAUAAUAUAUUGAACCGCAUGGUUCAAUAGUGAAAGACGGUUUUGCUGUCACUUAUAGAUGGAUCCGCGCCGCAUUAGCUAGUUGGUAAGGUAACGGCUUACCAAGGCAACGAUGCGUAGCCGACCUGAGAGGGUGAUCGGCCACACUGGAACUGAGACACGGUCCAGACUCCUACGGGAGGCAGCAGUAGGGAAUCUUCCGCAAUGGGCGAAAGCCUGACGGAGCAACGCCGCGUGAGUGAUGAAGGUCUUCGGAUCGUAAAACUCUGUUAUUGGGGAAGAACAAAUGUGUAAGUAACUAUGCACGUCUUGACGGUACCUAAUCAGAAAGCCACGGCUAACUACGUG
This 495-nucleotide ribosomal RNA is filed under the name uncultured bacterium. RNAcentral's name for it is "partial 16S ribosomal RNA". It matches the Rfam family "Bacterial small subunit ribosomal RNA", at positions 30 to 507 of the family's 1533-position model. The record is from RNAcentral.